UUUAACUGGCAUUCAUAAACUUUUGUUCCUGAAAACAGACGGCUCGACUAACCUGUUUACUUGUGUGUGGUAGGCAGCCUAGUGUCUGUCAAACUCAUAGUCAGAGUGGUUGAUAAAGUGAAGUUUGACCGAAUUAUUUUUUAUCAUGUUCUAAUGAGACUGACGUUUGUUAAACUUCAACUGAAGUUUACGAGUUUACGCGAAGACGAGACGAUGUCUAGGAAUCGGUUGGAAGAUGAUCUCAUGUGUGUUAUCUGCCAAGAUAUCUUCACAUAUCCCGUCAUCUUGACAUGCAGUCACAGCUUUUGCAGAGCUUGUCUGGAGCAAUUUUGGCACGUGAAGACCUCUCGAGAAUGUCCAGUUUGCAGUAGAAAAUGCUCCAAGUCCAGUUACCCUCUGAACCGAGCUUUGAGGAACGUGUGUGAGGCCUUUGUACAACAAAAUGUAUGUCCAAGAACACCUGCUAGUCCUAAACUAUUCCUCCACUAUGCGGUAGCUGUGGUAAGCGACCUCAUAGCUCGACUCCUCAACUUGGGUCUCUUCAGACGCCUGUUCCAGAUAGCGCUCAUCCUCUUGUUUUUUUCUGGGCCUCUUCUGACUACACGGAUCUCCAAAUACAGCGUGUUCGCUAACAAGAAUCACUACUUGUACAGGAUGUUCCUGAGCUCAGUUUGGGGUUGGACCUGCAUCCUCACUGGAUCCUUCAUUUUCCUGCUCUCCUUCACCCUCCGCCGCUCCUUCUUUCUCUCCCUCCGUCACCUCAGUCGACUGGCUGCAGCCAGUGCUGUGUGGCUGGGCCUACGCUGGCUUUUGACCCAUCUGGAGAACACCACCGGCAGCUGUUUUGAGCCUCUCAGCGCCACUCUGAAAGCCUUCAUGGAGGCUGCAUCUCCUGGAGAAGGCUCAAGACUGCUGCUCCGGGAUGGGGAGAGUAAGAUGAGCUGUUUGCACGCCGGGUUCCAGUGGCGCAGUGGCUGCGAGGUAUCCCAGGAGGCCCUGCUGCUGUGUCUGUGUAGCCUGCUGCUGUUGGAAGAGGUGUCUGUGUUUCGGCGCUGCACAUACUCCCAUGGAACCCCCCUCCGACUGCUUUUCCUGCUCUGUGUCUCCCUGCUUGGGCUGUGGUUAUUUCUGCUCUUCUGCCUAUUGAUUCACUUCUCACAAUUCCUCUCCCAGUUGAUAGGGGGAGCUCUAGGUUUCAUGACCUGGAGCAUUCUCUACCAAGGAUGGUUCAGAAGAGAACUAAGGUGGUGGUGUCCAGGGGCUCCCGGUAAUGGACUAAUACAGGAAAACCACACAGAAAAGGACAGGUGAAGAAUUGACACAUUAAUGUCUAUAUGAUGUGGUCUUCAGUGAGGUUAUUUGUGCUAAAAUAUCAAAAAGAAGUCUGAGAAAUCAUAAUGUCAUGAAAGGAUAAGGAUAACGAGUCACUUUCUGCAGAACACAUAGUUCACAGAUAACACAUCAUUUAAUUUGAUUUAUUGUGCAUGUUCAAGUGUCUUGUUCCUAAUUCUGUAACUUGCAACAAGACAAGUAACAGGAUUGGUGAGUGGAGUCCCUUGGCCCUAAGUCAGUUACACUAUGUAGGCCUACUGUAUUAUAGCAGUGCAGACUCAAGACUGUUAUCAUUAUAUCUUGACCAUCAUACCAACCAGGAAGUAAGUGGAAUUGACCAUAGGACGUUGUAUGGAAGUCAUUUCCUGUUCAGGGAACUAUCUCUCUGUCUAUGACAGUAAAAAAUAGUAAAAACAGUUUAUUCUAUGUAUUUGUGUUUUUUGCCAAUCAAAAUUCAAAAAUAAUAUAUUAUAUAAAAUAAUUUUUGACAUUUUCUGCUCUUGUUUGUGUAUAUAGUUAGUUAAAAUGAAAUGACAAUAGUCAUAAUACUCAUAUAAUACUCAUAUUGCUUAGGUUGUGCUGAAAAAAAGUUAUUUCUGAGAUUCUGAUACGUUUUCAACCAUGACGUAUGCACAACGUUGAAAACGUAUCAUAAUCUCAGAAAUAAUCACGUAUGCAGUCAUCUUAAGGUGGCGACAUCAAGUCGAAUCCACCUAAUAAAACAUUGUGCAAAACUGCAAAAAAUGCUGUGAGUUUUAAGGGUUAACCCUGUCGGCAUCAGCGCUGAUAUUGGUCGUGUUGAAUGCACUGCCCUAUCUGUCAUCAUAUAAGGCCCACCCCAUGCCGGCUAAGUAAUUGUGAUUGGUGUCUGGGUUUUUGGAAUGUUGGCAAUGGGUGGCAAUGGCCUCCUUGCCAGACUGACCUGCAGAGCGAAUUCAAAUUUGCCAAAUGAUUUGUCUGGGUUCUUCCAGGCGAUGCAUCUGCAUUUUUACAUCUUUUUGUGUUUGCAUUCUCAUGCCACUAUAUAAGUCACCAUGUCACAGCAUAAACACACUGGCCCUUUAAUAGGAAAUAAAGUGUCACAUCUACCAGGAAAGACUAAAGUCCAACUUAUUUGGUAUAUUGUAUAUUGUUUUUGUUUAAUUAGAAGCCAUCUGAACAAAUUGUUACAAUUCUAGAUCAAGAAAGUUGGCAGUACUGGUUAUUAAGGAUUUAAAAUAGUUGGAACAUUGUGAAGAAAGUACAUUUCUCAGUCUAAAAGUGAAAGUAAAGUCAUUGAUCGCAUUGACAUUUAAGUUAGUUGACAGCUAUUGCUAGACAGAUGUCUGCCGGCGAUAUAGAUAUGACGGCACCUGCAGAGCCUGAGGUGCUCUGUAUUCAUCACAAAGAGAAAUUCAAGCUCUUCAGCCAAGAUGAUGCAGAGACUGUGUGUCUGGUGUGUCGAGACUCAAAACGGCACAAAGGCCACAACUUUAGCCCCAUUGAUGAAGCAGCCCUUGAGCGUAAAGAUGAACUUGCAUUCAAACUGAAGCCCAUCCAGCAAAAGAUCAGAAAAUGCGAGGAAGUUAG
Molecule: RNA transcript, 2901 nt
Organism: Sardina pilchardus (European sardine)
Lineage: Eukaryota; Metazoa; Chordata; Actinopteri; Clupeiformes; Clupeidae
Gene name: fat storage-inducing transmembrane protein 1-like
Exons: 3
Source: RefSeq, a predicted model, not a curated record